RNAcentral lists this long non-coding RNA (287 nucleotides) under Solanum tuberosum (potato). Its description in RNAcentral is "long non-coding RNA (STUB_LNC007189)". Lineage: Eukaryota; Viridiplantae; Streptophyta; Magnoliopsida; Solanales; Solanaceae. The record is from RNAcentral.
AUUUUCGGAAUCGCACUUGUCACCUAGAAAAUCGAUACGAAUAAAAUAUCAAAAUAUCACAUUUUUUCGUGACUGCACGAAAAUAAUAAAAUCUUUAAAAAGACAUAAAAACACCUCAAAAAAUAGCCGAAUUGCACCAGUCACCUUAGAAUAUUGAUUCGAAUAAAAUCACAUUUUUUCGGGACUGCACGAAAAAUAUCAAAAAAUUUAAUUCAAAAACAUCUGAAAAAUAUAAAAAUCAACAAAAAGACAUAAAACCACGUUAAAAAUUUUUCGAAUCACACCAG